Molecule: long non-coding RNA, 698 nt
Organism: Heterocephalus glaber (naked mole-rat)
Lineage: Eukaryota; Metazoa; Chordata; Mammalia; Rodentia; Bathyergidae
Source: Ensembl
GUGGGGCGCUGUGCCAUCUCAUGUCUGGGCCGGGCCGGGCCAUCUGCAGGCCACCCGCGGAGUGUCUGCCUCUCAGGUGCUCUGACCCGGUGUGUCCCAGCAGCUGUGACCAUGAGGUAUGCGCCAAAAGUCAAGAAGCCAAAAGCCACACCUGCUGCAGAAGUUCGCAGAUCUGCGUUUCGAAGCUAGACGUGUGUGAUGCAGAACUUCAAAGGAACCGAGGCCACAAUCCAGACCCACCAUCGCGCACCCUCCUGGCCGGGCUUCGACGCCCGUGUUGGUGCCGUGUCUGUGCCUUGCCGUGUGCGACAUCCCCUUACACACCACCUGUGACUACAACGUCUCCCGGGCCCGCUGCAAGGAGCUGGGGUGCUGCUUCUACCAGAGCAUCUGCUACGAGAAGGUCAUGCCGAGACCCCAGAAGAGAACACAGGCCCUCAAGAACCCGAGAGGACUCCCGACUUCCCCAGGGUGCUCACCCUUCGCACACAGAAGCCCCCACGAACCCUCCUGCCAUCUUUCAUUCUCCUAAGCGGGAAAAAUCCAUGAGAGGAGGAAGAAGAAAGAGAUUCUCAUGCAGUCCACUCUGCCACCUGAGGCCAGCAAUGAGACUGCUAAAGUCUCCCAGGGUGGACAAGUGGUGUCACAGCCGGCCAGUGUCAUUGUCUCCAGGAAGAGUGGCAAGAACCUGGAGGAAG